AUUGAACGCUGGCGGCAGGCCUAACACAUGCAAGUCGAGCGAAGCGGCGGACGGGUGAGUAAUGCCUAGGAAUCUGCCUGGUCGUGGGGGAUAACGUCCGGCAACGGGCGCUAAUACCGCAUACUAUCAGAUGAGCCUAGGUGGGAUUAGCUAGUUGGUGGGGUAAAGGCCUACCAAGGCGACGAUCCGUAGCUGGUCUGAGAGGAUGAUCAGUCACACUGGAACUGAGACACGGUCCAGACUCCUACGGGAGGCAGCAGUGGGGAAUAUUGGACAAUGGGCGAAAGCCUGAUGCAGCCAUGCCGCGUGUAUGAAGAAGGUCUUCGGGUUGUAAAGCACUUUAAGUUGGGAGGCGUUACCAACAGAAGAAGCACCGGCUAACUCCGUGCCAGCCGCCGCGGUAAUAC
Molecule: ribosomal RNA, 407 nt
Filed under: uncultured bacterium
Lineage: Bacteria
Description: partial 16S ribosomal RNA
Rfam family: Bacterial small subunit ribosomal RNA
Source: RNAcentral